CCCAUCUUCUGCGUCGCUCACACUGGGAGCUGUAGACCGGAGCUGUUCCUAUUCAGCCAUCUUGGCUCCUCCCUCCCAGGUGAGCAUGUAAGAAUCACUGGCCUUGAUACUGCAGGCUGAGAACUCUGGCAGCAACUUCCAUGACUUUUGCUCACCAAGCUCUUCCAACAGAUAUUCCUGGAGCUUGGAAGUCUGCGAUCAGGGUGCCAGCACGAUCAUUUCUGAAACACUUCGUUGAACUCCUCACACCACCAUUCCAGAAGUCCUGCCUGUCCAUGGGCCAUUUCUUAUAUAUAAGGAAGAAUGAUUCAGUGGAUACAACCAAGAACUCAGAGGGUGGAGCCAAGAGCUAAGAAGAAUCAUUCCCAGAGAUCAGGACUGGGCCGUGAUGAAAGAACUAGUGAUGGAUUUCAGAAUUGCUAUGGAAUGCUAUGUGUUUCCUUGUUCCCCUCCUUUGUGAACUGAAGUGUCUACUGUGAUUAUUAAGUUUCUAACUCACCAUUGUAUGUUGGGUAUGUGGGGGCAUAUAAUUUGUUUCUUUAUUUCAUAGGUCCUGAGAUCUAGAGGCUCUGUACUCAAGGAGCUUCACUUGAGGAGCCUCAUCUCCACCUAGACCUGAUUUAGCUGAUGAAAUCCUGGUCCUCAGAUCUAAUCCUGAUGUUAAAAUAGGCUGAGACUUCUGGGGGCCUUGGGGGAAGGUGAAUGUCUUUUGCAUGUGUGAGAAAUGUAAAUAAUUUAUGGCUAGAGAGGAGAGUGUGGUAGACUUAAAAUGGCUGCAAAUUCCUUGUGGCUCCUCCCAUUGAAUCUGGACUGGCUUUAGUCACUGCUUGACUAACAGAAUACAGUAUAUGUGAUGUUGUAGAAUUUUAGUCACAAGAUCACAAAAAACCUUGAUCUUCUGCCAGGGACUUUUUGAAUGCACCUGCCAUGCUGUGAGGAAGUCCAGGUAACCACAUGGAGAACCACACAGAGACAGAAUUUGAGAUCCCCAGCUGGCAGCCCUAGUGGAGCUCCUAGCUGACACCCAACACCAAUUUGCCAGUAAUGAAGAUAAUUCAUUCUGGAAGUGGAUACUCAGUUCCAGUGGAGGCAUCGGGUGACGCUGUGUAGCGCAGAAAUGAGCCAUCCCCACCCAAAUUGCAGACUUAUGAGUAAAAAUAAAUUACUGUUUUGAGCUACUGUUUUAGAGUGGUUUGUUAUGCAGCAUAAAUAACCAUAACGUUCCUUAACCUAGCAACUCCACAUCUAUAUGUCUACCUUAAAUAAACUCUUGUGAAUAAAAAAUAUGAAUGAG
RNAcentral lists this long non-coding RNA (1294 nucleotides) under Homo sapiens (human). RNAcentral's name for it is "HSALNT0286364". The record is from RNAcentral. Lineage: Eukaryota; Metazoa; Chordata; Mammalia; Primates; Hominidae.